This is an unclassified non-coding RNA of Vespa mandarinia (Asian giant hornet), 874 nucleotides long. The record is from RefSeq and is a predicted model, not a curated record. Lineage: Eukaryota; Metazoa; Arthropoda; Insecta; Hymenoptera; Vespidae.
CUCGUCCGUUUCGAAUGUACCGUGACUACUUAAAAGAAACGAUUUUUAAAACGCGUCCCCUUUCGUCUUAUUCGUUGACCCUUCGAAUAGGAAAAAAAGAAAGAAAGAAAGAAAGAGAGAAAGAAAAAAAAAAAGAAGAAAAAAAGAAAAAAGGCAGUCUUGCCUCCUGGUUUUCUGGGGAGCCGUCGGUCGGCAUCGCGUAUCGACGAAGCGCAUGUAUAACAGAGUUCCCGAUAAUAAUGGUACUUAUUAUGCCGCUACCAUUUGCGGCCGAUUCACCUGAUGAGGACCAUUCUCGUAGAGAUAACGUUCAGGCAGUGCUGGAACCAUAAUCAACCGGUCGUCCAGGGCGGCUUGGAUCUAAGUGACUCUCAAAAGGUAUACCCUUUUCUCAGGAGUCUCCUCUCUCUCUCUCUCUCUCUCUUUCUUGCACUCCCUCUUUUCACCUCUUUCUCGAUGGCUCAUUCUACUUCCACUUGGCGAUUCGGUAAGGCUCUGAAAAGUAAGAAGCACGGUCGGCAAGCUACGACGAGGCGCACGCCGUACGAUGACUAAUGGCAGACACCUACACCUACAAUGCCUCGUGGACGGCCGAUCCAUCGUCAAUGAACACGGGGAUUACACUGCUAAAUGAGAUUCCAGCGGCAAAAUCAAAGUGGCAGCAGGUGGCCAGGGCCACGGCCAUCUUCCCCGCGGGAUACGCCUUGGUGCCUGCAUCGUUCUCGCAUCUUCCGAAGACGCGCACCGUUCUUCUACCGCCAUAUUGCCGGAGAAUGGCGGCUUCACUAUUUUCUUUCACUAUAUUUUCACGUUGUAAACGUUAGAUCUCUUUCGAGGAUCUCUUCGAACUAUCUUUUACAAUAUCUAUUUAUAU